Molecule: long non-coding RNA, 1724 nt
Filed under: Anas platyrhynchos platyrhynchos (common mallard)
Lineage: Eukaryota; Metazoa; Chordata; Aves; Anseriformes; Anatidae
Description: lncRNA (ENSAPLG00000019705.1)
Source: RNAcentral
AUGAAGGAAAGAGAAACAGCGAAGGUAAAGAAAGAAAGAGCAAACAGGGAAUUAAAGUUGCCUAUGGUGAAGUCUGGCGAGCUUCUGAGCCAGCAGAAUGUAAGGACCAGAACUCAGUGGUUGGAGAUAGGAAGCAGAAACUUUGUUCUCUGGCAAUGCAUAGAUGUUAAUUCUGCUCUCUGCAUCUCCUGGGACCAUACUCCAAGACUGGAAGAGUUUUCAGAAUUCAGGGGUGUUGUUUCAGUCACGAAGAAUCAAACUUCUUAAUGAAAAUACUUAUUAUUGUGUUGACUGUGUGUGAUGGGACAUGGACCAAAAUGUCAGAACAAUCAUUUUUUUUCUAAAAAUCUUUGUGAAAACAUAUCUCCGAAGCAAAUAAGUAAAGAUAAAAACAUGUAAUGGCCUCAAAUCAGGCUUUUCAUUUAGAACUUCCCUUUCACCAAAACGAAAGCACUCGCUCCAAGCCCCCCCCCCCCCAAAAAAAAAAAAGUAAAAAAAAGUGGGGAGUUCAUGUGACUCCAAGCUUUCCUUUUGUUUCAGAUGUUUCACGUGUAGAACAGGGAAAACAAACAAAACCCUAUAGAUUUUCAGAGCUCCAGUUCUGCCUAAAAGACUUUGAAGCCACACCACUGGCCUCUCAUUGAUGUAUCUUUACCUGCAGUCUGUAAGACACAGGGACUGGAGUGCUCUCAGGUCCUUUGAUUGAAAAUAUUCCACUUUGUAUGUACAAUACUCUGUUCUUUCACUGACCAUCUGCAACAUAGAUUUUUACCUGCUUAGCUGAGAUUACAGUCUGAACAGCUGCUUUUUCUAGAUUUCUGCAGAUGGAGAAUGCAGCUCAUCCUCUUCUAGAUUGUCUUAAUCUUUAAAACAAAUAUUACAAUAUUCUGUAGAUAUAAAUAUGGCUGAAAAAGAAGACGUGCUAUAAGCUUAAAGAUAGUUCAGGUGUCUCAAAAGAAACGCUGCUUGGGAAUACUGUGAGUGAGCCAAAGUGAAGGAAAUAUUCCUGGUUCUCUCACUGAGAAUGGCAGUUUUAUUUCCUAAAUGAUGGACAUAGACCCUUGUUUUUGCUUUCUGUCCCUGCUUCUUAUUAUAUCGGAUAGUUUAUUGUCUUUAGGUAUGUUUUCUAUCUUCUAUCUGUGUCUCAUUUCUACAGAACAGCUUCAAUUUAAGAAUCUUCACCUGAAUAUCUGUGAUUGCCAAAGAAAUGCCUCUGAUUAUUUUCUCUGUCUUUCCUGAAAGCAUCCACAUUGAGGUUUCUUUUAUAUUAGUGCCUGCCAGAUUCUGUCCCCAAGACUUCUUUUUCCCUGCAGCACUGGAAAUGAAGAUGUUCAAAGAGAGCAAAAUUAGCUUUUUGGUAGCCUAGCUGGCUAUAGUGUAUGUCAGACAAGUGUGUCCCCAUGCACAAGGUGCUGAGAAUCAUAUUCUAUCUUCAGUUAAAUACAUGAAAACUCAUUAAAAUCAAUGUUGAUGCACAGGUAGAAGUGAAUGAGUAGUAUUUAGCUCAGAAAUUCUGUGUUCUUAUCUUUAGACUUAAUAAUCUAUUGAUAGAAUCAUCCUGUGUUCCAAAAGCAUGCCAACGCUUACUAUAACAUGUUGUGAUUGUGCUGCGCUUUCAGCAAAGGUGGGUCGUGUGUUUAAAAAUGACAUUUGCUUUACCAUUCUGCCUAAAUUGUGGAUAAUGUUUUAAUAAAUGGUAUUUUUAAAAAGAAAUAUAUUAUUUG